RNAcentral lists this ribosomal RNA (292 nucleotides) under uncultured Planctomycetota bacterium. RNAcentral's name for it is "uncultured planctomycete partial 16S ribosomal RNA". Lineage: Bacteria; Pseudomonadati; Planctomycetota. The record is from RNAcentral.
GGACUACUGGGGUUUCUAAUCCCGUUCUCUCCCCUAGCUUUCGCGCCUCAGCGUCAGAUGAGGUCCAGAGCGCCGCUUUCGCCACCGGAGUUCCGGAUGAUAUCAACACAUUUCACCGCUCCACCAUCCGUUCCGCGCUCCCCUACCUCCCUCGAGGCCGCCAGUAUCCAAGGCACUUCUCCAGUUGAGCUGGAGGAUUUCACCCCGGACUUGAUGGCCCGCCUACGCGCCCUUUAAGCCCAGUGAUUCCGAACAACGUUCGCACGGUUCGUCUUACCGCGGCUGCUGGCAC